RNAcentral lists this ribosomal RNA (250 nucleotides) under uncultured bacterium. RNAcentral describes it as "partial 16S ribosomal RNA". It matches the Rfam family "Bacterial small subunit ribosomal RNA", at positions 524 to 773 of the family's 1533-position model. The record is from RNAcentral.
UACGUAGGCAGCGAGCGUUGUUCGGAAUUACUGGGCGUAAAGAGUGUGUAGGCGGUGCUCUAAGUCUGUCGUGAAAUCUCCCGGCUUAACUGGGAGGGUGCGGCGGAUACUAUUGUGCUAGAGGGUGGGAGAGGAAAGCGGAAUUCCUGGUGUAGCGGUGAAAUGCGUAGAUAUCAGGAGGAACACCUGCGGUGUAGACAGCUUUCUGGACCACUUCUGACGCUGAGACACGAAAGCGUGGGUAGCAAAC